CUGCUUUCCAGGAUAGAGUCCUCCAUCAGGACACUGAAAAAAACCUCUGGAAGCAGAAUCUUGACCUGAUGGCAAUUUAAAUUUUCUCAGUUCUAACAAGAGUGGGUGCUCUGUAUCUAACAAACAGAACUGGAUCCUUCAUACACAGCAGGAGAGGUGUCUGGGAGUUGGAGCAUAUGGAUAUUGAAAUGAGACAUCACUGGAAAUUUAUGCUGUAUGCUACACGGCAGCUAUGGGAUGGUGACUUCAGAAAACUGCCCAAAGAGAAUAAAUCACUUGAACUUUUGCAUCUGACUAACAUGAGAAGAGAGGACCUGUGCCAAGUGGGAGAAUAUGAAUUUCGUUCCCAGGAGCAGGAAGUAGUGCAGGAAUGCUACCCCCUGAUACUAGUCAAGGUAAUGUUUUCCAUGACGAACAGUGAUGAUGGGGAAGAGAGUGCUUUGCACCACUCAGUGCCCUCUACCAGACAGUUUGGGUGGGAAUUGCUGCUUGGAGAGGGCCUGGUUCCUUACCCUAGCUGGAGGCUACUGGUGCAACUUGGGCCAGGCCUGGCUUAGGAGAAAGGGCUGCUUCUGUUGAAGAGUUGAUGCUGUGGUCCAGCCAGUAAGGGGGGGAGAAAAUGUGGUCCUGCCUGAAACUGAGAGGUUAAACACUCAUUGUUUUCACUUCUCCUGCUACCUGAUGAUGAUUGGGUGAUAGAAGGAAGUAAGAUGUUCGUUAUGUGGGAAUAGGGAAACCUCGCAGGGCAUGAGAGAUGUCACUCUGCAUUUUCCCCCUACCAGAACACCAUGAAGCCACAGAAUUAGCAAAGUAACACUGAACUAUUCACUAGAGUGGGUUGUAACACGCACUGCCAAUAAAUAAAUAAGUAGAAUGUAAGAUUUCCUUGACUCUUUCUAACGCUAUAGAAAUCGUGACACUUAUGAGUUAGUGUCAUAAUAACCUGCCAGGGACAAUGAUGUCCAUCACAUCCACCAUUGUUCCCAUUGUAGAGAAUAGCCUCGGGGUGCCAGAUCAUCUAGGACUGGUAUGAGAGUCCCAUAGUUGCUCAGCUUUAGGAACAGGUGAGAUUGUAAGGCAGUGGUCCCCAAACUCUCCCCACUCCCCCGCCCCCCAAUGGUCUGCACCCUCCCCCAGGAGCGCAGUUGGGGGCUGGAAGUGGGGCCAGGAGUGGAGCUUGAUGGCGUUCCCUCCCUGUCUCCUGUGGGUGCUGGCGUGGGCUCUGCCACGCCCCCCUUAGAGGGGCACGCACCACAGUUUGCGGACCUGUUGUCAGGAUUGGGUUGUUUUGGGUUUUUUUCCAAUUACC
This is a long non-coding RNA of Terrapene triunguis (Three-toed box turtle), 1309 nucleotides long. RefSeq lists it as uncharacterized. The record is from RefSeq and is a predicted model, not a curated record. Lineage: Eukaryota; Metazoa; Chordata; Testudines; Emydidae. The transcript has 3 exons.